Molecule: ribosomal RNA, 1719 nt
Filed under: Klebsiella pneumoniae
Lineage: Bacteria; Pseudomonadati; Pseudomonadota; Gammaproteobacteria; Enterobacterales; Enterobacteriaceae
Description: partial 23S ribosomal RNA
Rfam family: Bacterial large subunit ribosomal RNA
Source: RNAcentral
UGCAAUUCGUUGCACUAUCGUUAACUGAAUACAUAGGUUAACGAGGCGAACCGGGGGAACUGAAACAUCUAAGUACCCCGAGGAAAAGAAAUCAACCGAGAUUCCCCCAGUAGCGGCGAGCGAACGGGGAGCAGCCCAGAGUCUGAAUCAGCUUGUGUGUUAGUGGAACGGUCUGGAAAGUCCGACGGUACAGGGUGAUAGUCCCGUACACCAAAAUGCACAGGCUGUGAACUCGAAGAGUAGGGCGGGACACGUGGUAUCCUGUCUGAAUAUGGGGGGACCAUCCUCCAAGGCUAAAUACUCCUGACUGACCGAUAGUGAACCAGUACCGUGAGGGAAAGGCGAAAAGAACCCCGGCGAGGGGAGUGAAAAAGAACCUGAAACCGUGUACGUACAAGCAGUGGGAGCACCUUCGGGUGUGACUGCGUACCUUUUGUAUAAUGGGUCAGCGACUUAUAUUCUGUAGCAAGGUUAACCGUAUAGGGGAGCCGCAGGGAAACCGAGUCUUAACUGGGCGUUAAGUUGCAGGGUAUAGACCCGAAACCCGGUGAUCUAGCCAUGGGCAGGUUGAAGGUUGGGUAACACUAACUGGAGGACCGAACCGACUAAUGUUGAAAAAUUAGCGGAUGACUUGUGGCUGGGGGUGAAAGGCCAAUCAAACCGGGAGAUAGCUGGUUCUCCCCGAAAGCUAUUUAGGUAGCGCCUCGUGAAUUCAUCUUCGGGGGUAGAGCACUGUUUCGGCUAGGGGGUCAUCCCGACUUACCAACCCGAUGCAAACUACGAAUACCGAAGAAUGUUAUCACGGGAGACACACGGCGGGUGCUAACGUCCGUCGUGAAGAGGGAAACAACCCAGACCGCCAGCUAAGGUCCCAAAGUCAUGGUUAAGUGGGAAACGAUGUGGGAAGGCACAGACAGCCAGGAUGUUGGCUUAGAAGCAGCCAUCAUUUAAAGAAAGCGUAAUAGCUCACUGGUCGAGUCGGCCUGCGCGGAAGAUGUAACGGGGCUAAACCAUGCACCGAAGCUGCGGCAGCGACACUAUGUGUUGUUGGGUAGGGGAGCGUUCUGUAAGCCUGCGAAGGUGACCUGUGAGGGUUGCUGGAGGUAUCAGAAGUGCGAAUGCUGACAUAAGUAACGAUAAAGCGGGUGAAAAGCCCGCUCGCCGGAAGACCAAGGGUUCCUGUCCAACGUUAAUCGGGGCAGGGUGAGUCGACCCCUAAGGCGAGGCCGAAAGGCGUAGUCGAUGGGAAACAGGUUAAUAUUCCUGUACUUGGUGUUACUGCGAAGGGGGGACGGAGAAGGCUAUGUUAGCCGGGCGACGGUUGUCCCGGUUUAAGCAUGUAGGCUGGUUGUCCAGGCAAAUCCGGAUAAUCAAGGCUGAGGUGUGAUGACGAGGCACUACGGUGCUGAAGUAACAAAUGCCCUGCUUCCAGGAAAAGCCUCUAAGCAUCAGGUAACAUCAAAUCGUACCCCAAACCGACACAGGUGGUCAGGUAGAGAAUACCAAGGCGCUUGAGAGAACUCGGGUGAAGGAACUAGGCAAAAUGGUGCCGUAACUUCGGGAGAAGGCACGCUGGUGUGUAGGUGAAGUCCCUGCGGAUGGAGCUGAGACCAGUCGAAGAUACCAGCUGGCUGCAACUGUUUAUUAAAAACACAGCACUGUGCAAACACGAAAGUGGACGUAUACGGUGUGACGCCUGCCCGGUGCCGGAAGGUUAAU